GGUUCCAUGGUGUAAUGUUAAGCACUCUGGACUCUGAAUCCAGCGAUCCGAGUCGAAAUCUCAGUGAAACCU
RNAcentral lists this transfer RNA (72 nucleotides) under Lingula anatina. It matches the Rfam family "tRNA". From Rfam's summary of the family: Transfer RNA (tRNA) molecules are approximately 80 nucleotides in length. Their secondary structure includes four short double-helical elements and three loops (D, anti-codon, and T loops). The record is from Rfam by way of RNAcentral. Lineage: Eukaryota; Metazoa; Brachiopoda; Lingulata; Lingulida; Lingulidae.